Molecule: ribosomal RNA, 472 nt
Filed under: uncultured bacterium
Lineage: Bacteria
Description: bacterial SSU rRNA
Rfam family: Bacterial small subunit ribosomal RNA
Source: RNAcentral
GCAGACCACUCCUACGGGAGGCAGCAGUGGGGAAUAUUGCACAAUGGGCGCAAGCCUGAUGCAGCCAUGCCGCGUGUAUGAAGAAGGCCUUCGGGUUGUAAAGUACUUUCAGCAGUGAGGAAGGUGGAUAUGUUAAUAGCAUAUUCAUUUGACGUUAGCUGCAGAAGAAGCACCGGCUAACUCCGUGCCAGCAGCCGCGGUAAUACGGAGGGUGCGAGCGUUAAUCGGAAUUACUGGGCGUAAAGCGCAUGCAGGUGGUUUGUUAAGUCAGAUGUGAAAGCCCGGGGCUCAACCUCGGAAUUGCAUUUGAAACUGGCAAACUAGAGUACUGUAGAGGGGGUAGAAUUUCAGGUGUAGCGGUGAAAUGCGUAGAGAUCUGAAGGAAUACCGGUGGCGAAGGCGGCCCCCUGGACAGAUACUGACACUCAGAUGCGAAAGUGUGGGGAGCAAACAGGAUUAGAUACCCUGGUAG